This 2706-nucleotide long non-coding RNA is filed under the name Triticum aestivum (bread wheat). RNAcentral's name for it is "long non-coding RNA (TAES_LNC016647)". The record is from RNAcentral. Lineage: Eukaryota; Viridiplantae; Streptophyta; Magnoliopsida; Poales; Poaceae.
UCAUUUGUUUUAAAAUUUUGAGUUUUCAGGUCUAAAAUGGUUCAUCCCCUUUUGUGGUUGCAGUUUUACUGAUCUGGACACACCACCUUCUCAGGUCUAAAAUUUUGAGUUUUCAGGUCUAAAAUGUAACUGAUGUAAAGAUUUGUCCAUCCCUUGGUUAGUCUUUUGAUCUACUGGUAUUUUAUGAGGCUUGGCUUUUUGAAAUAAAAAAAUUUGCUUAGAUUUUGACCUUUGUUGUAUGCGUGAUGGCAGACAGAAUCCGACUUUUUUUCCAGCUGGUGCACUGAGGGAGGCGUUUGAUGUAGCAACUGUAAGUAUCGAACCUAAUGAACUUCCUUUUAAUUAUUUUUGUGUGGUUUCACCUGUUACACGCUCUGUUAAUUUCUUAGAUUUAUACAAGUUUGUUAUUGAACAAGAACAUCUCAUGAUGGUUGUCUUAUUGUCUGUAGGCCUUUAAAAAACAAUGCCAUGAUUGAUUCAUUCCCCACUGGUAUAUUCAAAGUUCUAGGUCUAUACAUCAAUACAUGUAUAUUGCUUCUAAAGAUCUUGCAAAUUUGGAAGCUAAAAUUAGAUAAAAUGAUAUAAGUUUUUAGGUUAAUUCUAAUGUAAUGCAAUUUCAACUUCCUCUGGACUCUUGAAAGUAACUAUUUUGUUUGCCUGCAGUAUGUUCGUCCAGCAGAGGAUGCUCUUCAGUGGAAAAUUCUGAAACCUUAUUCAGCUUUGAUGUAUAGCUGGCACAGUUUGUUAAUAAUCUCUAUGAACAUUUGUACAAAUGGUGAUAAAAAAGUUCUUUUAUAACCAUGGAAUCAUGACAUGGAAUGUAUUAUUAAUGUGUAUACCUUCAAUGUGGAUUAUCGAAGACUACUUUCGUUUCAUAUUCAUGCAAAAAACUUCUCCGGGAAUGUUGAAAUUUUUGCUUGUACUGUCUUUUCCUGGAGUCAUUGAAAUAUCCCCUUGCACAGAAAUUUGUUUUCUACUGAAUUUUUGUCAAGAUACUCUGGUACUAACAUUUAACUAUUUUGUAGGAAUGAAGAGCUCAAGGGAGCAAAAGGAACAAGGAGAAAGGAGCGCUCAAGAGAAGUGAACUCAAAGUCCAAGAUGCAAUCUUCACAUAGCUCACAAAUAUUAACCAGUAAACACUACUUGAUUCGUGAUGGCAUUGGACCAGACACACAACAUCCAGUUCUAUAAUAAGUAUAUUCGUGAUUGCAUUGGACCAGACACAUGGAGAUGCUCCUUUUCGCCGAGGAGUGUAGCUUGUAAUCGAAGUUGGCGCUACAAAGCUUGUUCUCAAAACCGACAACCAACUUAUGGCGCAGGUUAUUAACUCAGAUGUUAUCGACCGAUCCAGGUUUGGUCCUCUUGUCUAGGAGAUAAAGAAGAUGAUGUGAGGCAUCGACAAGUUCUGAGUGGCUUGGGCCAGGAGAAUAGCAAACAAAGCUGCUCAGAUCUUAGCUAGGGAGGGUUGCCUUUUAAUGCAAAACUUGGUUUAGUGUUUCUACAGAUUGUAUUCAAGAUGUUGUACUGGCAGAUAAUGCCAUGAACUAAAUAAUAACAAGGCAUCAAUUUCCUUUAAAAAGUAUGUUAUCUUAUAGCAGGUGCAUCGUAUCAAAGAUACAUAUUUCAUGCAAUUAAUGUUGAACCACUAGAAUACUUAUGUUCCCGUUGCAACGCACGGGCAAUUUCCUAGUAUACUAAACAACUUGAACUGGUAAUACACAACUAAAUUGGCUAUUAAGCAAGUUCAGGUUUCUUAUCCAAAUAAGGAUGAGAAAUCUGCUCCUAAAAUAACAAUGCUAUGUGCAGACUUGGAGAAUGACAUGAAAGGCUAUUUACUACUCCAUAAGUACACAAGUAGUAUUUGCAUCAGUACAGCUACACUAGCACAUAUUAGCAAAUUAUAGGCAAGUUUGUGGUUUCAAAAAAAAAAGUCUGCAACAGAUAUAUUUUCGGGCAAUACAUGUUCACAGGGACCAUAGCACCUACGCAGCAAUGAUUUCUUUUCCGAUUUUGCUGCUGCGCUUCAUCCUUUUCAAAUUCUGGGCACCCUGAGCCAAAGAAACAACUGGUAUAAGAAUAUGCAUUAAGACGCGAAAGAUAACUGUACUUUUUUGUGUGAGAAAAGAUAACUAGAGUUAGCUAGCAAGCAUCAAAUUUUGUUCAAGUUAGUCUCGUCAAUAUAUGUCCUUGUGCAAUGCACAAUGAACAUGAAAAUUAGCAUCAGAGCUAAGUCAGAGACAACUAAAACAUGACAUUCUUUCGCAGAGUACAACAUGAACGCAUACUGCAUACGCACUUCUGCAGAAGCUAGAGACAACCAACGUUUUACACAGUAUAAAUAAAUGAGUUCCCACCUCAGCAUUACAUCAAAGUUUUACACAGUAUAAAUAAAUGAGUUCCCACCUCAGCAUUACAUCAAACACGUGGUACACACAACAUUCAUCUAUGCUUAACACAACCAAUUAAGUAACUAUGCUUUUAAAUAAGCUACUUCUUUUUCGGAGCACACAUGAGCACCCUGUGUGUGUGAUUAGCUCUCGGGGGUUAAAUAGUACAUGCUCGAUUGCAGAGACCAGACAUCCAUUACAUGUAAGGCAAUAGCAGGUAUAUACUGAUCUGCCAUGAGAGGUUCAAUCUAUGCACCUCGUGGUCAAAUAUCAACAGUGCAUGAUACACAUUAUAAACUCUAAAGUUGUGCUAAAACUG